UCUAUAAAAAAAUUGAAGCAUUGUAACCAUUUUGUUGGACAAAAUUGUAUAAAUAAAAACAAAACUAGUAAGUGUCUAGUAAAAAAUUGUAAUCAAAUUCAAGAUCAUACUUUGGAAAAUGACAAAGAACAAACAUGCUGUAUUUGUCGAUUAGAAAAAACAUUGAGUGUAACAUUAAGUCCUUGCUAUCAUAAAAUAUGUAAUGAUUGUGCUAACGAGCUAUCACUAAAAAAUGGUACUAAAUGUCCAAUAUGCAGAGAACCAAUAUUACGUUAUAAAAAUAUAGAGUUAAUAGAAAGAUGUGCAUGCAAAGAAGAACUUCGACACGUUGUACUAAAACCUUGCCUUCACAGAAUAGGUAUAAUCUGUGCUGAUUAUAUUAGUAAUAAAAGUGAAUAUCAUCCAAAGUGUCCAAUAUGCCGCGUAAAAGUUGAAGAAUUCUGUCACGAUGUUUAUUGUUCCGAAAUUGAUUCAUCUUUGUCAGAUUCCUCAAACUCUGAUGACCUGUCAGAAUUACAAAAUCCUUGUCUUCCUAGUACAUCGAACACCCAAGAAAAAAUUUUACCUGAUUCUGAUGAAAAAAAAAAAGAGCUAGGAAAGAAAUAAUGUCUAAGCGUUUAGCGGCUGUACUUGACAAGUGUAAAAUUGUAACGUAACAAAAGUAUCUAUUUAUUUUUUUAUCUAUUUGUAUAUAUAUAUUUGUGUUGAGCCGAAGCGGACUGCGACGGCGUUUGUCAGUUAAAUAAUCACGAUAAGGUGUUGUGAUUUGUUUAUGCGCGUGCGAGAUAGUCAGCUAUGUACUACUUCAGACCGGUUAAUGGACGGCAUUUGUGUGUACAUCCACCCCGCUCCUUUCCUAUCUUGAACGUCAUUUGCACUGCUCACCGCAUACAUUGUCGCCUCAUGAUUUAAAUUUUUCGUAAUAAUUUCCGGCACUGGGUAUUUAGUUUUUUUUUUUUUGACCUCUACUCUAAAGGCUAGCCGUGUUGUUGCCAACGGACCGCCGGGUCAAACGCCGGACGUUUUUUCGGGGAAUAGCCAUAGUCUGAACUGGUCGUACUAUUUCCCGUCCGUAGCGGUAGAUUUAGUUGUGUGCGCUGCAACUUUUGUGUUUCUUAUAAUAUAAUUUUGUUUUUCUCGUGAGCGCCCGCUAUGUAAAAAUGUAAUUUUUGUUUAUCACGGCGUCGGUUAAACCUGCCUCCUGUUUCUUUAGCCCUUCGGAGCGGGUAAUGUAUAAUGUUUAUUUAAUGUUUUUGAGCCAGUUUUUUUUUUAGUGCGCCGUACCAUAAGCACGUGUGGCGAAUUCUUUUAUAUUUUUUUAUAUAGUUUUUUUUGUGUAGGAGCCCCUAUUUUUUUUAUUUAGGUCCCGUAACAUGGCAGGCGUGUACAAGACCACCUGGCAUGUUACAUCCAUAUUUUUUUGUGAUUUUUUUAAUAGGUUUUAUAUUAUACUUUAUGGGUGAUAUGUAUAUAUUAUUGGUACAAUGGGGUGACGUAGUGCAUUUUAUUCCGGGGUGUCCCAACGUCUUGCAAGCUAAGUCUAACUGCCUAAAACUAGUCGCUUACUUGGGACGUAUACCCGCCGUCCUUAGCGGCAAUGCUGCGAUUAAUAGCCGGCGGGUACCCGAAGACUAUCAUCGUAUUCUCUAACAAUAAAAGUGUAGGUGUAACUAGUAUUUUUUUUUAUUAAUAUCUGUUUUUUUUAUUUCUUUGUCCCCUUUAAUUUGUAAACGAGGUUUUUUGACCAUUCGGUUUUUUGCCUCGUGUUAAUUUAAUUUUUUUUUGUUUUUUUUUUUUUACUUAAUAAAGUCCCCUUAAUUUAACUUAACCAUCAAAUUUUUCUUUUUUUUGCGUGUUCCAUCUUCAAUGGACUCGUGUAUUUUUUUUUCUCCUUUCAAAAAUCAACUCCCCUAGUUUAUAAGGUACGGGCAACGGCCUUGUAUAAGGUCAUCCCUCAUUGAUAUGGUUAUGUGACAAUUGUCACGAGGUUUUGGUGUACAUCUACUAUCAACGACUCAACGGACAUCAACUUUAAUAUUUAUUAAUUAUAUAUUUUUUCUAAUUGUUUUAAUAUACAAAACUUAAUUUUUUUUAAAUCCUACUGUGGUCCGACAAUACACUGUCACGUUCAGUAGGUUGGCGACUCUUUUCUUAUAAUUUUGUAAAACGACAUGAAAGUUACAAAUUUUUCGUUGCGGCCAAUUAGUUUGAUUUUCUUAUAUUUGUAACCUUUCAAAGUGGCGACAGAGAUUGCGUUCACAUACUAACAGCAGUUUUAGAUACUAUUUCCGUCGAUCCACGUGUGUAUGUUAUUAACAAAACGUCAAUAAAAUCUGCUAGAAAAAAAUUUCGUAAAUAUAUUUUUCAAGAUUUAAAGUGCAAAUUUGAUCAUUUAAACACAAAAUCAUUAGUACUUCACUGGGAUUCUAAAUUACUACCAGAUAUAACUGGAACAUCUAAAGUUAAUCGACUUCCUAUAAUUAUUAUAGCACACAAUGUUAGUCAAUUGCUCGGAGUUCCUUAGAUAGAUUCAGGUA
This is a long non-coding RNA of Daktulosphaira vitifoliae (grape phylloxera), 2537 nucleotides long. RefSeq lists it as uncharacterized. Lineage: Eukaryota; Metazoa; Arthropoda; Insecta; Hemiptera; Phylloxeridae. The record is from RefSeq and is a predicted model, not a curated record. The transcript has 4 exons.